CCUACGGGCGGCAGCAGUGGGGAAUAUUGGACAAUGGGCGAAAGCCUGAUCCAGCCAUGCCGCGUGUGUGAAGAAGGCCUUCGGGUUGUAAAGCACUUUCAGUGGGGAAGAAAGCCUUGGGGCUAAUACCCUCGAGGAAGGACAUCACCCACAGAAGAAGCACCGGCUAACUCCGUGCCAGCAGCCGCGGUAAUACGGAGGGUGCGAGCGUUAAUCGGAAUUACUGGGCGUAAAGCGCGCGUAGGCGGUCUGAUAAGCCGGUUGUGAAAGCCCCGGGCUCAACCUGGGAACGGCAUCCGGAACUGUCAGGCUAGAGUGCAGGAGAGGAAGGUAGAAUUCCCGGUGUAGCGGUGAAAUGCGUAGAGAUCGGGAGGAAGACCAGUGGCGAAGGCGGCCUUCUGGACUGACACUGACGCUGAGGUGCGAAAGCGUGGGUAGCAAACAGGAUUAGAUACCCUUGUAGUC
This 465-nucleotide ribosomal RNA is filed under the name Vreelandella stevensii. RNAcentral's name for it is "partial 16S ribosomal RNA". It matches the Rfam family "Bacterial small subunit ribosomal RNA", at positions 338 to 795 of the family's 1533-position model. Lineage: Bacteria; Pseudomonadati; Pseudomonadota; Gammaproteobacteria; Oceanospirillales; Halomonadaceae. The record is from RNAcentral.